Eucalyptus grandis is the source of this 873-nucleotide long non-coding RNA. RefSeq lists it as uncharacterized. NCBI's taxonomy places the organism in Eukaryota, Viridiplantae, Streptophyta, Magnoliopsida, Myrtales, Myrtaceae. The transcript has 6 exons. The record is from RefSeq and is a predicted model, not a curated record.
AAAAGUGUCAAACCAAGGAAGAAACCUCAGACCAAAAGUUACUGAAUAAGUUGGAUUAUGUUGAUGAUGAUGCUGAAUUGGCGAAGGCCAUUGUGCUGUCUCUGCAUGAUUCUGCUGGAGUUUCAGGAACAGUGAGCUCAGGGCCUCCCUAAAAAUGAGGCUGGUGUAGAUCUUAAAGGCAGAGUAGAAAAGACUCAGGAAAAUCCUAGAAUGCUGAAGAGGAGAAAAACGUUUACCAGCCGGGUGAAGAUGACUGAGGACGAGCUGAUUAUGCAUUUCUUUCAGUUUGAUGAAGCGGGGAAGGUGGCAUCACUGUGCAUGAUUUAGCCAAAGUUGCUGAUGCUCAUGAUUUUACAUGGACAGACGAGGAACUAGCCAACAUGAUUCACUGCUUUGAUAGCGAUGGAGAUGGAAAGCUAAGUCUUGAUGAUUUCUCGAAGAUUGUCCAUCGAUGCAACAUGAUACAAGGUUCUGAAAGCUCCUAAGUGGUUAAGAAUGACAAGUCUACCUACUGUUCAGACCAGGAGGGAUUGAUCAAGAGUUCAUUUUUCUGCCGGGUUCUGUUUCAACAGCAAGAAAAGAGGCACCUAAGUAAGCGAGAGAUAGAAGCAAGAUAGUAGCUUGAUCCGCUAGCUGUAGUGAAGAUGUAUAUAGUAUAAGUCAGAGCUUUCAUAGAUAACUCACCAAAUGCUGGUUGUAUUACUAUCUUAGACAACAGAAUUAUCUGUGGCUUUUACAAGCUGAUCUAUUUGAGGUUGGGAUUAGUGUGACAGCAGAUUAUAGCUUGCUUAACCUUUUGGGCCAGUUGAAUUAUCUGUUGCAUUGUUUUAUACAAAGAAUGAGUACUCUAAAGAAGGUUUGGUCCUGCUGUUA